GCCCCGCAUCAAGAGUUGGGGCGACGCCCAACGCCAACCUGCCAUAUCCGGGCAAGGUGGCUCCCUGCACGGGGGAUGUGGCCGAACCGGCAAUCAGACGGAUCAAG
RNAcentral lists this non-coding RNA (107 nucleotides) under Insolitispirillum peregrinum. RNAcentral describes it as "SAM-I-IV sequence". It matches the Rfam family "SAM-I/IV (S-adenosyl methionine) riboswitch aptamer". Rfam says of the family: It is found upstream of a number of genes which code for proteins involved in methionine or cysteine biosynthesis. It has been found mostly in the order Actinomycetales. The record is from Rfam by way of RNAcentral. Lineage: Bacteria; Pseudomonadati; Pseudomonadota; Alphaproteobacteria; Rhodospirillales; Novispirillaceae.